RNAcentral lists this non-coding RNA (21 nucleotides) under Arabidopsis thaliana (thale cress). The record is from RNAcentral. Lineage: Eukaryota; Viridiplantae; Streptophyta; Magnoliopsida; Brassicales; Brassicaceae.
CAAAUCAAUAGGAAAUGCUAU